AUUGAACGCUGGCGGCAGGCCUAACACAUGCAAGUCGAGCGGAUGAAGGGAGCUUGCUCCUGGAUUCAGCGGCGGACGGGUGAGUAAUGCCUAGGAAUCUGCCUGGUAGUUGGGGAUAACGUCCGUAAACGGGCGCUAAUACCGCAUACGUCCUUAGGGAGAAAGUGGGGGAUCUUCGGACCUCACGCUAUCAGCUGAGCCUAGGUCGGAUUAGCUAGUUGGUGGGGUAAAGGCCUACCAAGGCGACGAUCCGUAACUGGUCUGAGAGGAUGAUCAGUCACACUGGAACUGAGACACGGUCCAGACUCCUACGGGAGGCAGCAGUGGGGAAUAUUGGACAAUGGGCGAAAGCCUGAUCCAGCCAUGCCGCGUGUGUGAAGAAGGUCUUCGGAUUGUAAAGCACUGUAAGUUGGGAGGAAGAGCAGUAAGUUAAAACCUUGAUGUUUUGACGGUACCAACAGAAUAAGCACCGGCUAACUUCGUG
This 484-nucleotide ribosomal RNA is filed under the name uncultured bacterium. Its description in RNAcentral is "partial 16S ribosomal RNA". It matches the Rfam family "Bacterial small subunit ribosomal RNA", at positions 30 to 507 of the family's 1533-position model. The record is from RNAcentral.